CUGGCGGCGUGCCUAACACAUGCAAGUCGAACGAGAAAGUGGAGCAAUCCAUGAGUAAAGUGGCGACCGGGUGAGCAACACGUGACUAACCUACCUCCGAGUGGGGAAUAACUCCGGGAAACCGGGGCUAAUACCGCAUAACAUCGCAAGAUCAAAGCAGCAAUGCGCUUGGAGAGGGGGUCGCGGCUGAUUAGCUAGUUGGCGGGGUAACGGCCCACCAAGGCGAAGAUCGGUAUCCGGCCUGAGAGGGCGCACGGACACACUGGAACUGAAACACGGUCCAGACUCCUACGGGAGGCAGCAGUGGGGAAUUUUGCGCAAUGGGGGAAACCCUGACGCAGCAACGCCGCGUGGAGGAUGAAGCCCUUUGGGGCGUAAACUCCUUUCGACUCGGACGAUAAUGACGGUACGAGUGGAAGAAGCACCGGCUAACUCUGUGCCAGCAGCCGCGGUAAUACAGAGGGUGCAAGCGUUGUUCGGAAUUAUUGGGCGUAAAGGGCGCGUAGGCGGUGCGGUAAGUCACCUGUGAAAUCU
This 534-nucleotide ribosomal RNA is filed under the name uncultured bacterium. RNAcentral describes it as "bacterial SSU rRNA". It matches the Rfam family "Bacterial small subunit ribosomal RNA", at positions 36 to 602 of the family's 1533-position model. The record is from RNAcentral.